GAUGAACGCUGGCGGCGUGCCUAAUACAUGCAAGUCGAGCGAACAGAUGAGGAGCUUGCUCCUCUGACGUUAGCGGCGGACGGGUGAGUAACACGUGGAUAACCUACCUAUAAGACUGGGAUAACUUCGGGAAACCGGAGCUAAUACCGGAUAAUAUAUUGAACCGCAUGGUUCAAUAGUGAAAGACGGUUUUGCUGUCACUUAUAGAUGGUUCCGCGCCGCAUUAGCUAGUUGGUAAGGUAACGGCUUACCAAGGCAACGAUGCGUAGCCGACCUGAGAGGGGGAUCGGCCACACGGGAACUGAGACACGGCCCAGACUCCUACGGGAGGCAGCAGUAGGGAAUCUUCCGCAAUGGGCGAAAGCCUGACGGAGCAACGCCGGGUGAGUGAUGAAGGUCUUCGGAUCGUAAAACUCUGUUAUGAGGGAAGAACAAAUGUGUAAGUAACUAUGCACGUCUUGAGGGUACCUAAUCAGAAAGCCACGGCUAACUACGU
This 496-nucleotide ribosomal RNA is filed under the name uncultured bacterium. RNAcentral's name for it is "partial 16S ribosomal RNA". It matches the Rfam family "Bacterial small subunit ribosomal RNA", at positions 28 to 506 of the family's 1533-position model. The record is from RNAcentral.